CUUGCGUAAAGUGCGGCAAGGGUCACGAUGGGGCAUGUCGAGCCGGUGCCUGCUACAAGUGCGGCAAGGAGGGGCACAUUGCUAGGGAGUGCCCCAAGGGGUUUAUGGUUUGCUUCCAUUGCAACCAGACCGGCCAUCGAAGGGCCGAGUGUCCGCAGCUUCGUCAGGGAUCUGCACCUGUUGCCAGGACUACUGAGACUCGACCGGUGAAGGUCGAGGCCCCGAGGGCUCGUGGGAGAGCCUUUCAGCUGACUGCGGAGGAGGUCCGCGCUGCGCCCGAUGUUGUGGCAGGUAUGUUGUAAUUCGUGUAAUUAUUUUAAUGUCAAUAUGUUAUGCUUAUGUUAUUAUGCGCGUAGGUACUUUCCUUGUGAACUCUGUACCUGCUUUAGUGUUAUUUGACUCGGGUGCGAGUAGGUCCUUUGUGUCUUUAGCCUUUAGUCAGCAGAUUGGCGUUAGUCGUGAGUCGUUGAGUCGACCUUUGAGAGUUUCUAUAGCUGACGAGAAAGUGAUUCGUGCUACGGAGGUUCUUCGGGGAUGUGUACUAGAGAUUUUCGGGGUUGAAUUCCCGAUUGACCUGAUUCCUAUUGCGAUGGGGGAUGUCUGUGUUAUCGUGGGCAUGGAUUGGUUGAGCCGAUUCGGCGCUGUCAUCGACUGCGAGCGUCAGUUGGUGACCAUACGAGACCAUAGUGGGGGAGUUCUUUCGGUGUACGGUGAGGGUACUCGUUCAGGAUCAGCUUUUUGUUCGGCCGCUAGGGCGAGGCAGUGUCUACAGCAGGGCUGUAAGGGUUUUGUGGCGUAUGUGAUGGAUACGCGGGAGGUUUCCGAGAGACCGAAGUCAAUUAAGGAGGUCCCUGUGGUGCGUGAGUUUUCAGAUGUUUUUCCCGAGGAACUGCCGGGAGUACCUCCUGUGAGGCAAGUAGAGUUUGGUAUCGAUCUGGUUCCGGGGGCCGCGCCUAUUGCUAAAGUGCCCUAUCGUCUUGCACCUCCAGAGAUGCAAGAGUUGUCCUCGCAACUCCAGGAGUUGCUGGGAAAGGGAUUCAUUCGGCCGAGCAGCUCGCCAUGGGGAGCACCUAUUCUGUUCGUCAAGAAGAAGGAUGGUUCACACCGGAUGUGCAUUGAUUACCGGGAGUUGAACAAGCUAACGGUCAAGAACCGUUACCCGUUGCCGAGGAUCGAUGAUUUAUUCGAUCAGUUGCAGGGAGCAUCUUGGUUUUCCAAGAUCGAUCUGAGGUCAGGAUACCAUCAGGUGAGAGUACGGGAUGAAGACGUCCAGAAGACAGCGUUUAGGACGCGAUAUGGGCAUUAUGAGUUUGUGGUGAUGCCUUUUGGACUCACCAAUGCCCCGGCUGUGUUCAUGGAUCUCAUGAACAGGGUAUGCAGGCCGAUGUUGGAUCGGUCAGUGAUUGUAUUUAUCGACGACAUUCUGGUGUAUUCGAGAUCUAGAGAGCAGCAUGAGGAGCAUUUGAGGGAGGUCCUUGAGGUAUUGAGGUCGGAGAAGCUUUAUGCAAAGUUCUCCAAAUGUGACUUCUGGUUGCGGGAGGUCCAGUUUCUAGGACAUGUGGUUAAUCAGAAAGGGAUAUUGGUCGAUCCGGCCAAGGUUGAGGCGGUGAUGAGUUGGGAGGUGCCGAAGUCACCCUCUGAGAUCAGAAGUUUCCUUGGGUUGGCAGGGUAUUAUCGGAGAUUUAUCAAGGAUUUCUCCAAGAUCGCAGUGCCACUCACCAGAUUGACCCGGAAGGGUGUUACAUUCUCAUGGGGGCCCGAGCAGCAGACCUCCUUUGAGACACUUCGCCAGAGAUUGUGCGAAGCCCCGGUAUUAGCUCUCCCAGAAGGGAUGGAAGAUUUCGUGGUAUAUUGCGACGCAUCGAUUUCGGGAUUGGGUGCAGUGUUGAUGCAGAGGGGUCAUGUGAUAGCUUAUGCGUCGAGGCAGCUGAAGCCUCAUGAGGCGAGAUAUCCCACGCAUGAUUUAGAGUUGGGGGCAGUAGUGUUCGCUCUCAAGAUUUGGCGUCACUACUUGUAUGGGGUUCGAUGUACGAUAUACACGGACCAUAAGAGUUUGAAGUAUUUGAUGGAUCAACCCAACCUAAAUAUGCGUCAGAGGAGGUGGUUGGAUGUGGUCAAGGAUUAUGAUUGUGAGAUCCUGUACCACCCAGGCAAGGCUAAUGUGGUAGCCGAUGCAUUGAGCCGCAGGGCGGAGAGCACUCCAUUGCGAGAUGUAUGCUUGAGACUGACUGUGAUGACUCCAGUAUUGGACGCUAUUCGUGGGGCCCAGGCAGAGGCUGUGCGACCAGAAAUGCAGAAGAAAGAGCGGGUUGUGGGGUUAAUCUCAGAGUUUGUCAAGGAUAGUCGAGGCCUUAUGACGUUUCAGGGUCGGAUUUGGGUACCGUUCGUGGGCGGUACGCGUAUUACGUUGAUGGAAGAGGCUCAUAGAUCGAAAUUCUCGAUCCAUCCCGGUGCUACAAAGAUGUAUUUGGAUUUAAGGAAGGAAUAUUGGUGGCCCUGUAUGAAGAGGGACGUGGCAUGGUUCGUUGAGAGGUGCUUGACCUGCCGUAGGGUUAAGGCUGAGCACCAGAGACCGCAUGGCAAGUUACAGCCAUUGGAGAUCCCCGAGUGGAAGUGGGAACAGAUCACUAUGGAUUUUAUCACCAAAUUGCCGAGGACUGCUAGGGGAGUUGACGCAAUUUGGGUGAUCGUGGAUAGGUUGACAAAGAGUGCACACUUCCUUGCCAUCAGUGAGAGUUCUUCGGCGGAGAAAUUGGCGGAGAUAUACGUGAGAGAGGUGGUAUCUCGGCACGGGGUGCCGAUCUCGAUUGUGUCAGACCGUGAUGUGCGCUUUACUUCCAGAUUCUGGAAGAAAUUCCAUGAGGAGCUGGGUACUAAAUUGCAUUUUAGUACCGCAUACCAUCCCCAGACAGACGGUCAGAGCGAGCGGACAAUUCAGACGCUGGAGGACAUGCUCCGAGCGUGUGUGUUAGACUUCGGGGGUAGUUGGGAUGCGUAUUUACCAUUGGCAGAGUUUUCCUACAACAACAGCCAUCAUUCGAGCAUUGGUAUGCCACCUUUCGAGCUGUUGUAUGGUAGGAGGUGUCGGACCCCCAUUUGCUGGGGAGAGGUGGGACAGAGAGUGAUGGGCAGCACGGAGAUCGUGCUCCAGACGACAGAGCAGAUUCAGCGAGUGAGACAAAGGUUAUUGACUGCCCAGAGCCGACAGAAGAGUUAUGCAGACAGGCGCCGAUCCGAGCUUGAAUUUCAGGUCGGCGACUUCGUUCUCCUGAAGGUCUCUCCUUGGAAAGGAGUGAUUCGAUUCAGGAAGAGGGGCAAGUUGGGGCCCCGGUAUAUUGGGCCAUUUCGUGUGAUUGCAAGGAUAGGUCGGGUAGCCUAUCGGUUGGAGUUGCCAGCGGAGUUGGGUCAGAUCCAUGACACUUUUCAUGUGUCGCAGUUGAGGAAGUGCAUAGCCGAUGAGUCGGCAGUGGUUCCAUUGGAGGAUAUUCAGGUGGAUGCGAGCCUGAAUUACGCGGAGAGACCAGUGGCUAUCAGGGAUCGGAAGAUCAAGGUUCUGAGGAACAAGGAGGUACCUCUGGUGUUGGUUCAAUGGCAACACCGUAAGGGAUCAGAAAUGACUUGGGAACCGGAGCGCGAAAUGCGGGAGCAGCAUCCGGAACUAUUUGCAGAGUGAGACUUCGAGGGCGAAGUCUAAUCCAAGUGGGGGAGAGUUGUAACAGCCCGGAAUCUCAGGUAUUAUUAAAAUUAUGUUUUUGGGGUGAUUUAAGAGGGGACUCGGCGAGUUGGAGCCUAGACUCGCCGAGUAGGAUCGCAGACUUGGUCGCGGGUUCGCGACUGGACUCGACGAGUCCAGAUAUGGACUCGGCGAGUCUACGCUGUUUAGCGAAAACCCUAACCGUUCAGGUUUGGGACGUAUAAAAGGGACUCAUUGGCCGUCAUUGUUCAUUUUAGCCUUCUGAGAAGAACCCUAAAUCGAUUGUGUGCAUCUGGAGCAAGGAUUAUAGGCCAUUGUUGAUUAUAGAAGAGUGGUUGUGCAAGGAAGAGAAGGGAUUGGCUAAAGGAGCAGCAAGGGAGUCACAUUCUGAGGAUUGGGGACACAGAGAAUACAUCAUCCAGGUAAGAAUUCGAGUAUACUCUGCUAUGUUGAUGUGAUUAUGGAAUUAGGGUUUAUGGAACCCUUUUGUGAAUAGAUUGAAUGUUACCCUAGUCCCCUAAUCGAUUGUAACCCUGUAUUGGGACCUUUGGAGGUCCAGAAUGUCCCAUGUCUGUGCAUUUCGGGAAUUGAUGAAGGUUUUGGAUUGGAAUCCUUAUGCCUUAGGUCAAAAUGUAAAUUAUGAAUCAUAUGGUGUAUCAUGAGCACUGAAAUGAGGACUUUACGUGAUGGAUCAGCCUAGGAAGGCCAGACCUAGGAAUGGUCGAAGCAGUUCUGACCUUAGGAUGCAGUUUGAGCGGUUGCAUGGCAUGGACUCGCCGAGUUCGAUGAACAGACUCGGCGAGUAGCUUGAAGAUUAACUGGGACUCGUCGAGUUGUUCUUCAGACUCGGCGAGUUGAGUCGGGGUGGCCCCGCGAUUCUUCCAGGAGUAACUCGUCGGGUCAAGGAGGAUACUCGACGAGUAGAAAGGGAAUCUCAGAGAGUUGGAGGACGUCUAGACUCGCCGAGUCGCCAUGGCACUCGCCGAGUCCGGUCGAGUUGACCGUUGACCGUUGACCGUUGACCAGAGUUGACCUAAGUCUGACUUCUUAGGGAUAGUCACACUUAGAAGAUAUAAGUGUUAAUGAGAGAUAUGUGAUGUUAUAGGGAGGUUGUAGCUCGUCGGAUUGUGCACGAGUGAUUUCAGGAUUUGCUAGCUUUCAGCAUUCACGAGGUGAGUCUUCUCACUAUACUGUACCCGGAAGGGUUUGACUGUGUGACCGGAAGGUCAGAUAUGAUAUGUGAUAUGUAUGCUAUAUGUGGUAAGUUAUUUGUUAUAUGUGCUAUGUAUGUUAUGUGGGCCGGAAGGCAAUAUGUUAUGGGCCGGAAGGCGAUUAUGUUAUGGGCCGGAAGGCGUUGUGUUGAGGACCGGAAGGUCAGGGCCUGGAAAGGCGUAUGUGCGUAAGUUGUAUAUUGGGGAACUCACUAAGCAUUUAUGCUUACAGUUGUUAUGUAUGUGUUUCAGGUACUAGCGAGGACCGUGGGAAGGCGCCGGCGUGAUCGAUACACACUGAAGAAUGUUUUUAUGAUCUUGGGAUUUAGACAGUUUGUAUUUGACAUGACACUUAAAUUAUUUAUGCCUUGUUUUGAAUGAAAAUACUCUAUUUUUAAAAUGAAAAAUUUGUUUGAAAAUUUGCGUUGUUACAAUUGGUAUCAGAGCCUUGGUUUGAGGGAUUCGGGUGCACCUUCGGGAGUAACUGAACUCAAACCGAGGAUUUGAGGAAAACUUUUUAAAUAAAGGCAUAAACUUUUGUAAAUGGUUUUGUGGUAAGCAAGAAAGAAGCAGUGUGUACGAUCAGUCAGCGCCCGAACGGUAAAGAUCCCCAAAAUACCUUACAAUAUUAUAUGAUAUAAAUUGUUAUGCAUGCUAGAAGACUAGGUAUUCAUGAUAGGACUAGAGUGGCCUGAUUUGUGAUGCCUUAGUCUAGGGAAGUUUGCCGAUAUGAGAUGCUUUGCUAGUGUGCGGGUAGAUAGUGCAUAUCAGAAGUAGAGUACUCACUAUCCGGGGUUUGGGGAGGAAGACUUGGGAUGAAUGCUGAUGCGGUGUGGUCGGUAGUAUUGGGCCCGUACUACCGAAGACACCGGGUCAGUGGGAGACCCAAGUAAGAAUCCCUGGAUAUCGGAGACUGAGUAGGGUUGCGUUAUCGAGUGCGAUUAUACUCGAUGGAGUCUCUGAUAGUUUUAUGUUGUAUUUCAGAGACAUCAUGGUUAGACCACGCCACGGAGCGAGUUCGAGCGGUGUGAGUGACGAGGAGAUUCGUCAGAUGAUUCACGAGGAGGUAGCUGCGGCGAUCCGGGCUGAGAUCCCGGAGAUGUUUGGGUCUAUUAAGACCACCCUGAUGGAGACGUUUGAUGAGCGGUACGCCGCAUUGACUGAGGCUGCAACCGCUGCAGCUACCGCAGCUGUGGCCGCUGCUAGGCCACAGGGGGGUGACUCGUUGCUGUUCCGAGAGUUCAGCAACACGAAGCCACCAGAGUUCGAUGGGACGCAGGAUCCGAUUGCUGCGAUGAGGUGGAUCGCGGAUAUAGAGGGGUGCUUCUACACUUGUUCAUGCCCGGAGCACCUGAGGGUACGGUUCGCUUUGAACCAGCUCCGUCUGGGAGCGAAGGACUGGUGGAAGUUCGUGACGGCGAACUUCACUUUGGCAGAGACUACAGCAGUGACAUGGGAGGGGUUUACUGCCAUGUUCAGGGAUGAGUACGUUCCCCCGGUGGAGAGGGAACGAUUGGUUCAGGAGUUCUUAACCCUCAAGCAGGGUACUGAUUCUGUUGCGGUGAUCACGCGGAAGUUUCAUGAGAGGGCGAUGUUCUGCCCCGAGCUGGUGUCCACUGAUCAGGCUCGGAUGAGCCGGUACUUGGGAGUGUUGAGGAGGGAUAUCCGGGAGUUUGUGUCAAACUCCACUUACCAUACUUUUGCUGAGCUUCAGGCGAAUGCCAGGAAGCGCGAGAUCGAGUUGGAGACCCAGGCCAGGGAGGAGGCCGAGUCUCAGCGGGUGGACCGGCGACCGGCUCAGUUCCAGCCGGCAGCCAAGCGGACCAAGUCCGCUGAUUCGAGGACAGGAGGUUCGAAGGGUCGCACUUGCGGGAAGUGCGGCAAGAGUCAUGAUGGAGUAUGUCGAUCUGGUGCUUGCUACAAGUGUGGCAAGGAGGGGCACAUUGCUAGGGAGUGCCCCAAGGGAUUUUCGGUUUGCUUUCAUUGCAACCAGACUGGCCAUAGGAAGGCCGAGUGCCCUCAGCUUCUUCAGGGAUCUGCACCUGCUGCCGGAGCUACUGCGACUCGACCGGUGAAGGCCGAGGCCCCGAGGGCUCGGGGAAGAGCCUUUCAGCUGACUGCGGAAGAGGUCCGCGCUGCGCCCGAUGUUGUGGCAGGUAUGUUGUAAUUCAUGUAAUUAUUUUAAUGUCGAUAUGUUAUGCUUAUGUUAUUAUGCGCGUAGGUACUUUCCUUGUGAACUCUGUGCCUGCCUUAGUGUUAUUUGACUCGGGUGCGAGUAGGUCCUUUGUGUCCUUAGCCUUUAGUCAGCAUAUCGGCGUUAGUCGUGAGUCGUUGAGUCGACCUUUGAGAGUUUCUAUAGCUGACGAGAAAGUGAUUUGUGCCACGGAGGUUCUUCGGGGAUGUGUACUAGAGAUUUUCGGGGUUGAAUUCCCGAUUGACCUGAUUCCUAUUGCGAUGGGUGAUGUCUGUGUCAUCGUGGGCAUGGACUGGUUGAGCCGAUUCGGCGCUGUCAUCGACUGUGAGCGUCAGUUGGUGACUAUACGAGACCAUAGUGGGGGAGUUCUUUCGGUGUACGGCGAGGGUACCCGUUCGGGAUCAGCUUUUUGUUCGGCCGCUAGGGCGAGGCAGUGUCUACAGCAGGGCUGUAAGGGUUUUGUGGCGUAUGUGAUGGAUACGCGGGAGGUUUCCGAGAGACCGAAGUCAGUUGAGGAGGUCCCUGUGGUGCGUGAGUUUCCAGAUGUUUUCCCCGAGGAGCUGCCGGGAGUACCUCCUGUGAGGCAAGUAGAGUUUGGUAUCGAUCUGGUUCCGGGGGCCGCGCCUAUUGCUAAGGUGCCUUAUCGUCUUGCACCUCCAGAGAUGCAAGAGUUGUCCUCGCAACUCCAGGAGUUGCUGGGGAAGGGAUUCAUUCGGCCGAGCAGCUCGCCAUGGGGAGCACCUAUUCUGUUCGUCAAGAAGAAGGAUGGUUCACACCGGAUGUGCAUUGAUUACCGGGAGUUGAACAAGUUAACGGUCAAGAACCGUUACCCGUUACCGAGGAUCGAUGAUUUAUUCGAUCAGUUGCAGGGAGCAUCUUGGUUUUCCAAGAUCGAUCUGAGGUC
This 8003-nucleotide long non-coding RNA is filed under the name Lactuca sativa (garden lettuce). RNAcentral's name for it is "long non-coding RNA (LSAT_LNC004711)". The record is from RNAcentral. Lineage: Eukaryota; Viridiplantae; Streptophyta; Magnoliopsida; Asterales; Asteraceae.